CCUACGGGUGGCAGCAGUGAGGAAUAUUGGUCAAUGGGCGCGAGCCUGAACCAGCCAAGUAGCGUGAAGGAUGACUGCCCUACGGGUUGUAAACUUCUUUUAUAAAAGAAUAAAGUGAGGCACGUGUGCCUUUUUGUAUUUACUUUAUUAAUAAAGAUCGGCUAACUCCGCUCCAGCAGCCGCGGUAAUACGGAGGAUACGAGCGUUAUCCGGAUUUAUUGGGUUUAAAGGGAGCGUAGAUGGGUUGGUAAGUCAGUUGUGAAGGCUUGGGGCUCAACCGGAAAAUUGCAAUUGAUACUGGCAGCCUUGAGUACAGUUGAGGUAGGCGGAAUUCGUGGUGUAGCGGUGAAAUGCUUAGAUAUCACGAAGAACUCCGAUUGCGAAGGCAGCUUACUAAACUGCCACUGACAUUGAUGCUCGAAAGUGUGGGUAUCAAACAGGAUUAGAUACCCCUGUAGUC
Molecule: ribosomal RNA, 460 nt
Filed under: uncultured bacterium
Lineage: Bacteria
Description: partial 16S ribosomal RNA
Rfam family: Bacterial small subunit ribosomal RNA
Source: RNAcentral